This 497-nucleotide ribosomal RNA is filed under the name uncultured bacterium. RNAcentral's name for it is "partial 16S ribosomal RNA". It matches the Rfam family "Bacterial small subunit ribosomal RNA", at positions 28 to 507 of the family's 1533-position model. The record is from RNAcentral.
GAUGAACGCUGGCGGCGUGCCUAAUACAUGCAAGUCGAGCGAACGGACGAGAAGCUUGCUUCUCUGAUGUUAGCGGCGGACGGGUGAGUAACACGUGGAUAACCUACCUAUAAGACUGGGAUAACUUCGGGAAACCGGAGCUAAUACCGGAUAAUAUUUUGAACCGCAUGGUUCAAAAGUGAAAGACGGUCUUGCUGUUACUUAUAGAUGGAUCCGCGCUGCAUUAGCUAGUUGGUAAGGUAACGGCUUACCAAGGCAACGAUGCAUAGCCGACCUGAGAGGGUGAUCGGCCACACUGGAACUGAGACACGGUCCAGACUCCUACGGGAGGCAGCAGUGGGGAAUCUUCGGCAAUGGGCGAAAGCCUGACGGAGCAACGCCGCGUGAGUGAUGAAGGUCUUCGGAUCGUAAAACUCUGUUAUUAGGGAAGAACAUAUGUGGAAGUAACUGUGCACAUCUUGACGGUACCUAAUCAGAAAGCCACGGCUAACUACGUG